RNAcentral lists this ribosomal RNA (299 nucleotides) under uncultured Bacteroidales bacterium. RNAcentral describes it as "partial 16S ribosomal RNA". It matches the Rfam family "Bacterial small subunit ribosomal RNA", at positions 53 to 339 of the family's 1533-position model. Lineage: Bacteria; Pseudomonadati; Bacteroidota; Bacteroidia; Bacteroidales. The record is from RNAcentral.
ACAUGCAAGUCGAGGGGAAACGAUAUUGGAAGCUUGCUUCCGAUAGGCGUCGACCGGCGCACGGGUGAGUAACGCGUAUCCAACCUGCCCUUUACUCGGGGAUAGCCUUGCGAAAGUAAGAUUAAUACCCGAUGGCAUUGGAUUCCCGCAUGGGGCUUCAAUUAAAGGUGUGAACUGGUAAAGGAUGGGGAUGCGUUCCAUUAGGCAGUAGGCGGGGUAACGGCCCACCUAACCGACGAUGGAUAGGGGUUCUGAGAGGAAGGUCCCCCACAUUGGAACUGAGACACGGUCCAAACUCC